Molecule: long non-coding RNA, 877 nt
Filed under: Rattus norvegicus (Norway rat)
Lineage: Eukaryota; Metazoa; Chordata; Mammalia; Rodentia; Muridae
Description: long non-coding RNA NONRATT025672
Source: RNAcentral
AGCACUCCCAGGCUACAUCCUACCCCAGUCACUCCCCGCUGGCCAGAGGUGCCGACAGCCAACGCAUGCUACACAAGCCCGUCUGUGCAUUCCACGAGGUAUGGAAACUCCAGUGACAUGUACACCCCUCUGACCACGCGCAGGAAUUCUGAGUACGAGCACAUGCAACACUUUCCUGGCUUUGCUUACAUCAACGGAGAGGCCUCCACUGGAUGGGCUAAGUGACUGCUUUCAUAGAAAUCCAUAUUUAAUAUUAAUAAUUAAUAAUAAUAAUAAAUCCAGUACCCACCCUCCAGAAGACUUUAUCUCAAUACAUCAUAACUUGCGGGCUGAUCCUAAACAUCCAUUUGCCUAAUGAACAAGAGGAUGUUCACCAUGGAAUGAACACAUUUUAGUUCAGAAAGAGGACCCACUACAAGUCAGUGGGAUUGGGUCCCAUAGCCAAGCCAGACUCGACUGGUUCUAUAGAGCACUAUCUUGGGCAGGCCGUUCUGUGCCUUCCUCCUCUGCUCCAUGACCUUCAUGGCAACCACUCCCUGUAGGGUACUUAUUUUCUUGUUGACAAAGCUCUUUAGUCUUGAAGGAUGGAUACUGGAGCCAGAAUCUGGUCUGUGUUCUUGGAUGGGCACAUGAUUUACCAAGAGCAUUCACCUGUCUGUCACGUCACUGUACAGUUACCAGCCCUCAGACAUGUUCUCCAUAUCCCUACUUCCUGGUGACGUCAUUACUACUUCCUGAAGUCCCCGGAAAUUCCUGCAAAUGCUAAGCUCCCCUAAGUUCCGCUUGCACCUGCCAUAGUCCCUUCAUGGCCUGGACUGUAAGCACUGUUUUUGAGGGACCGAAGAGGCCUGUUAUAUAUUGCCUUUAGUUGAUUAAU